GACGAACGCUGGCGGCGUGCUUAACACAUGCAAGUCGAACGGAAAGGCCCUGCUUUUGUGGGGUGCUCGAGUGGCGAACGGGUGAGUAACACGUGAGUAACCUGCCCUUGACUUUGGGAUAACUUCAGGAAACUGGGGCUAAUACCGGAUAGGAGCUCCUGCUGCAUGGUGGGGGUUGGAAAGUUUCGGCGGUUGGGGAUGGACUCGCGGCUUACCAGCUUGUUGGUGGGGUAGUGGCUUACCAAGGCUUUGACGGGUAGCCGGCCUGAGAGGGUGACCGGCCAAAUUGGGAAUGAGAUACGGCCCAGACUCCUACGGGAGGCAGCAGUGGGGAAUAGUGAACAAUGGGCGGAAGCCUGAUGCAGCAACGCCGCGUGCGGGAUGACGGCCUUCGGGUUGUAAACCGCUUUCGCCUGUGACGAAGCGUGAGUGACGGUAAUGGGUAAAGAAGAACCGGCUAACUACGUG
Molecule: ribosomal RNA, 468 nt
Filed under: uncultured bacterium
Lineage: Bacteria
Description: partial 16S ribosomal RNA
Rfam family: Bacterial small subunit ribosomal RNA
Source: RNAcentral